GCACUUGUGGUUCAGUGGUUGAACGCUCGCCCAUUGUGCGAGAGAUUCGGGUUCGAUUCCCGGCCAGUGCA
Pocillopora verrucosa is the source of this 71-nucleotide non-coding RNA. NCBI's taxonomy places the organism in Eukaryota, Metazoa, Cnidaria, Anthozoa, Scleractinia, Pocilloporidae. The record is from the annotation of a RefSeq genome assembly.